Molecule: long non-coding RNA, 1176 nt
Filed under: Homo sapiens (human)
Lineage: Eukaryota; Metazoa; Chordata; Mammalia; Primates; Hominidae
Description: non-protein coding lnc-CD93-5:1
Source: RNAcentral
GUUGAUUUUUAAAUGCUGCUAAUCAUUGUUAUAAAUUAAACAAAAGAUUUACAAAUUGUGACCUGAAUAUUUUUCUAGAAGUGGGAAACAUGAUUGCUUUUGACUUCGUCAUUUCAGUGGUAUCAAAAAGUGAAUGACUAUUGUGGGCUGGAGUUAGUUUUGUACUUUCUACACUUUAUCCACUGCCGGUUGCUUUACCAAAUCCUCUGCUCAGCACUGGAGACUGGGAAGACAUCUGUCUCUGACUGUCCUCCUCCACCUCCCACCAAAGCACCACAGGGAUCAUGAAUAUCCCUAAUUAUACUGGCCUCCAUCAAAACACACACACAUCAUGAAGGAGCGGUCACCUCUGUGUGUUCCAAGGCCACUUUCCUUUCAUCAAUCCUGAGUAUUGACUUUUUAAACUUGCAGCUUUGUUUUUUUUUGUUUACCCAUUUUCCUUUGAAUCAUCUGACUACAUUUCUUUCUUAGAGAUGGCCACAGCCAAACCCUGCUUUUUGGCUGUAGGUCUUUUGGCUAGAGGCCCUUCAGUUUUAGGAAAGCAUCUUUUACUAUGGAGACAACAUUUCAUGUUAUUUAACUUUAUGACUUAAAAACAACCUCGGAAAAUCUUCUGGCAGAGAUUGCAGACGCCAAGUUUGAAGUGGAAUCGGUGUCAACAAUAAAGUCAUGGCCCUUCAUUAGGAGGUUUUCCCAUUGCACAGGAGAGACCAGUUGCCCAGUUUGACUUCUUUGAUGUUCACAGCGCCUGGAUUUGAUGCUUAAUGGGUUUGUGACUGCAGUGAAAUGCCGUUCAUUAACUUUUGUUAUAUGUUGAAUUGUCUUCAGAUGAGGUAUGUAUCCUAUUUGAGCAAAGAAAAAAUAAUUCAUUUGGGCCUUAUAAUUUCAAAAUUUGGAGUCACAUUGGGAUGGAAUUAAUACACCCAUUAGCUUAACAAACAAGAAACAAACCAAAAAGAGAGAGAGAUGAAAGAUAUGUUGGGGAAAUGAGGUUCAUAAGAGACUUUAGCUGUGCUGUUUAGCCUACUAAAAAUUCAUCUUGUAGGAGCACUUAGCUCUAUGUUUAUAUCUAUUCGCGUAAAGCAGAUAUGAAUUUUAAAUGAUUAUUACAUGAAUGCAAGAAAAUCAGUAUCUGUUCUAGGUAUGUUAUUCUGGUCCUGCUUAUAUCUAAAUAUG